GUAGGUGGCAAGCGUUGUCCGGAAUUAUUGGGCGUAAAGCGCGCGCAGGCGGUUCUUUAAGUCUGAUGUGAAAGCCCACGGCUCAACCGUGGAGGGUCAUUGGAAACUGGAGAACUUGAGUACAGAAGGGGAAAGCGGAAUUCCACGUGUAGCGGUGAAAUGCGUAGAGAUGUGGAGGAACACCAGUGGCGAAGGCGGCUUUCUGGUCUGUAACUGACGCUGAGGCGCGAAAGCGUGGGGAGCAAACAGGAUUAGAUACCCUGGUAGUCCACGCCGUAAACGAUGAGUGCUAAGUGUUAGGGGGGUUUUCCGCCCCCCUUAGUGCUGCAGCUAACGCAUUAAGCACUCCGCCUGGGAGUACCGGCCGCAAGGCUG
RNAcentral lists this ribosomal RNA (375 nucleotides) under uncultured organism. Its description in RNAcentral is "partial 16S ribosomal RNA". It matches the Rfam family "Bacterial small subunit ribosomal RNA", at positions 527 to 896 of the family's 1533-position model. The record is from RNAcentral.